Long non-coding RNA from Saccostrea echinata, 493 nucleotides. RefSeq lists it as uncharacterized. The record is from RefSeq and is a predicted model, not a curated record. NCBI's taxonomy places the organism in Eukaryota, Metazoa, Mollusca, Bivalvia, Ostreida, Ostreidae. The transcript is spliced from 3 exons.
UUGUUGUCUUAUUAACAGAAAACUAGUAAAUUAAACAGUAUUGGAUCAUAAAUGGAUAAGCUUAGAGAAGAUAGGGCCUUUCAAGCAAAGGAGAGUAAGGAAAGUGGGGUAUUCCAAGAAGUGAAGAAUCCUGUCGUGUGUGAAAUUCAAGAUAUCAAUCAACUAUUCCCACAAGAAGAAGCAUUUUCUUACAGGAUACCAUGGACGUGUAGCAAUAUAAAUCCAAAGGACAAAUGAGGCCAGUUACAAGUCACUCUCCUGCACAUUCAGUCUACAUUGUUUGCUCACAAAAGGAUUCAAACCAAUAUACAUAUUAAGGAAAAACUCUGCUUAGGAAAUUAGACUUAGAUGUCAUAUCCAAUACUCUUAUUACUCAAUAGUGUUUUUUUAAUGUACUGAAUAGGUUAAUUUUAAUAAAUUCACAAAUGUUUAAAAUUUUUGUUUGUUUAUUUUUUUUCUCCCUCCCUCGUAGGUUUUGAACUUUAGAGGUGAC